CGUAGGGUGCAAGCGUUAAUCGGAAUUACUGGGCGUAAAGCGUGCGCAGGCGGUUUUGUAAGUUUGUCGUGAAAGCCCCGGGCUCAACCUGGGAAUUGCGACGAAGACUGCAAGGCUUGAAUCUGGCAGAGGGGGGUAGAAUUCCACGUGUAGCAGUGAAAUGCGUAGAGAUGUGGAGGAACACCGAUGGCGAAGGCAGCCCCCUGGGUCAAGAUUGACGCUCAUGCACGAAAGCGUGGGGAGCAAACAGGAUUAGAUACCCUGGUAGUCCACGCCCUAAACGAUGUCUACUAGUUGUCGGGUUUUAAUUAACUUGGUAACGCAGCUAACGCGUGAAGUAGACCGCCUGGGGAGUACGGUCGCAAGAUUA
RNAcentral lists this ribosomal RNA (370 nucleotides) under uncultured organism. RNAcentral's name for it is "bacterial SSU rRNA". It matches the Rfam family "Bacterial small subunit ribosomal RNA", at positions 526 to 896 of the family's 1533-position model. The record is from RNAcentral.